RNAcentral lists this non-coding RNA (48 nucleotides) under Trichobilharzia regenti. The record is from RNAcentral. Lineage: Eukaryota; Metazoa; Platyhelminthes; Trematoda; Strigeidida; Schistosomatidae.
AUUCAGAUGACGAGUCCCAAAAAGGACGAAAUGUACCCGAUCCUGGAU